Molecule: long non-coding RNA, 1133 nt
Organism: Athalia rosae (coleseed sawfly)
Lineage: Eukaryota; Metazoa; Arthropoda; Insecta; Hymenoptera; Athaliidae
Exons: 2
Source: RefSeq, a predicted model, not a curated record
AAAUCGUCGAGGCACAUCGGACGCUGAUUUAUUUUGUCGGAAAAAAUGAAAGCUACUUAUAUGGCUGUGAUAUAGUGGAUGUUACCCGCGUGAUAAGAUGUCAGUGAAAUUGUGAUGUGAUACAAAACACGGAUACAAAUAUGUUCGAAAAGUAACGAUGGGCAACCCAUUCAAACUGCUGCAAAGAGAAGCCUAAUUAAUUUCUAGCGAGUAAGCGAGGGAAAGUUUGCAUUUUUAGAUGUUAAAACUGCCGCUCAAGGACCAUAGAAAAGAAAGUGACAUUCUUACGUAAAAUAUGUAAGCCACUGUCAUUGGGUUGCUAAAAUGACAAUGGGUUCAAUAAUUACGUCAAGUGAGGUUUCUUUGAGACCACGAAAUCCGUAGUUAAUGCUUAAUUCUUUUUAUUUUCAUUUUUGCAUUCGUUGAUCAUUCUGGAAAUUAUUGUUACAAUUAACAAUAUUAAACGAUGUUAAAUGUUAGUAAGGGCACUUAUUCUAACGUAUAAAUUUUUCUACAUCGGUUUGCGCUACGCGAAUUAUUGGCUCGAUCGACUUUGAUUAAAAAUAAAAACCCUGUAAAAUUUGGAAAUAGAUGUGCAUCUCCCGCACUUACAACCAGAGUAUCGAAAGUAAAUAACGAUAAAAGUCGAACAAAUUUACAUCAAAAGCGACGUGAAUUCGCUGCACGGGGCUUCAGUCUCAAUAAAAGUAAGCGCAAGUUAUAUUAAGAUUUUCUAGUAAUUAUGUUAACAAUAUCACUGACUCCUAAGUAUUGUUUCGUCUAUGAAAUCAAAUCAAUAAUUUAUUGGCUACGUUCUAUAUCGAAGAUCACAUGGAUAUUUGUGUAACAUAUUGGUGGUUUAUCAUAUCGCUUCAAAGAUUUUUAUGUAUACAGGGUGAGUUUUUUAGAGUGACUACUGCGAUGAUAUCAGAAAAUCGGUUUUAAUUUGUUAAGUUUAAAAUGUUGAAAAAUGAGCAUAGCAGUGUUUGAGUACACAUGUGAGGCCCAACUUUGGUUUUUUUUACGGAAUUCCCUAUUUUGCGGAUUUGGCAGACACUGAAGUGUUCGAGCAUUUAUUUUGAUUAUUUUUUGAACAUUACUAAGCGUUUCAAAACCACCGGGAAUAGAGUCAC